CACACUGCCCGUCACGCCAUGGGAGUGGGUUGCACCAGAAGUAGUUAGGCUAACCGCAAGGAGGCCGAUUACCACGGUGUGGUUCAUGACUGGGGCG
This 97-nucleotide ribosomal RNA is filed under the name uncultured bacterium. RNAcentral describes it as "partial 16S ribosomal RNA". It matches the Rfam family "Bacterial small subunit ribosomal RNA", at positions 1386 to 1482 of the family's 1533-position model. The record is from RNAcentral.